UACAGAGGAUGCAAGCGUUAUCCGGAAUGAUUGGGCGUAAAGCGUCUGUAGGUGGCUUUUUAAGUCCGCCGUCAAAUCCCAGGGCUCAACUCUGGACAGGCGGUGGAAACUACCAAGCUGGAGUACGGUAGGGGCAGAGGGAAUUUCCGGUGGAGCGGUGAAAUGCGUAGAGAUCGGAAAGAACACCGGUGGCGAAGGCGGCUACCUGGACAGAUACUGACACUGAGGCGCGAGAGCGUGGGUAGCAAACAGG
RNAcentral lists this ribosomal RNA (253 nucleotides) under uncultured bacterium. RNAcentral describes it as "partial 16S ribosomal RNA". It matches the Rfam family "Bacterial small subunit ribosomal RNA", at positions 524 to 776 of the family's 1533-position model. The record is from RNAcentral.